UCGACUCAGAGAAAGAGAUGACAGACCUGACAUAGACUUGGGAGGACCUACUAUGCUAAUGGAACCAAGUAUUCAUGCCCCUGCAAACGCUUUGCCUGCUUCAGUGGAACUUUAUGAUUCAGAUCGAUAAAUCUGAAAUGACUUAGUAUUGCAUUUUGCUGCUGUAUGAUAUGUGACGGCUUGGCUGAAGCAGUUCAAAAGCUCCCAUUGUUAGAAGAGUCGAGGCUGUCAG
RNAcentral lists this unclassified non-coding RNA (232 nucleotides) under Hevea brasiliensis (rubber tree). The record is from RNAcentral. Lineage: Eukaryota; Viridiplantae; Streptophyta; Magnoliopsida; Malpighiales; Euphorbiaceae.